This 253-nucleotide ribosomal RNA is filed under the name uncultured bacterium. Its description in RNAcentral is "partial 16S ribosomal RNA". It matches the Rfam family "Bacterial small subunit ribosomal RNA", at positions 524 to 776 of the family's 1533-position model. The record is from RNAcentral.
GACAGAGGUCUCGAGCGUUAGGCGGAAUCACUGGGCUUAAAGCGUGUGUAGGCGGGUUCCUAAGUACCUUGUGAAAUCCCAUGGCUCAACCAUGGAACUGCUUGGUAUACUGGGUGUCUUGAGCCAGCUAGGGGCUACCGGAACAAAUGGUGGAGCGGUGAAAUGCGUAGAUAUCAUUUGGAACGCCAAUGGUGAAAACAGGUAGCUGGGGCUGUGCUGACGCUGAGACACGAAAGCCAGGGGAGCGAACGGG